This 472-nucleotide ribosomal RNA is filed under the name uncultured bacterium. RNAcentral's name for it is "bacterial SSU rRNA". It matches the Rfam family "Bacterial small subunit ribosomal RNA", at positions 355 to 825 of the family's 1533-position model. The record is from RNAcentral.
UGGGGAAUCUUGCGCAAUGCGCGAAAGCGUGACGCAGCAACGCCGCGUGGGGGAAGAAGGCUUUCGGGUUGUAAACCCCUUUCAGGAGGGACGAAGCUUCGGGCGUUAAUAGCGUUCCGAAGUGACGGUACCUCACUAAGAAGCCCCGGCUAACUACGUGCCAGCAGCCGCGGUAAUACGUAGGGGGCAAGCGUUGUCCGGAAUCAUUGGGCGUAAAGCGCGCGUAGGCGGUCAGAUAAGUCCGGUGUGAAAGUCACAGGCUCAACCUGUGAAUGCCGCUGGAAACUGUCUGACUCGAGUCCGGAAGGGGCGAGUGGAAUUCCUGGUGUAGCGGUGAAAUGCGCAGAUAUCAGGAGGAACACCGAUGGCGAAGGCAGCUCGCUGGGACGGUACUGACGCUAAGGCGCGAAAGCGUGGGGAGCAAACAGGAUUAGAUACCCUCGUAGUCCCUGAGCGGGCUGGCAAGGCGCAU